This 904-nucleotide ribosomal RNA is filed under the name uncultured eukaryote. Its description in RNAcentral is "SSU rRNA". It matches the Rfam family "Eukaryotic small subunit ribosomal RNA", at positions 565 to 1492 of the family's 1831-position model. The record is from RNAcentral.
UGCCAGCAGCCGCGGUAAUUCCAGCUCCAAUAGCGUAUAUUAAAGUUGUUGCAGUUAAAAAGCUCGUAGUCGGAUUUCGGGUCGGGCCGAGCGGUCUGCCGAUGGGUAUGCACUGUUCGGCGCGGCCUUCUUUCCGGAGACCGCGGCUACUCUUAACUGAGCGGGCGUGGGAGACGGAUCGUUUACUUUGAAAAAAUCAGAGUGUUUCAAGCAGGCAGCUCGCUCUUGCAUGGAUUAGCAUGGGAUAAUGAAAUAGGACUCUGGUGCUAUUUUGUUGGUUUCGAACACCGGAGUAAUGAUUAACAGGGACAGUCAGGGGCACUCGUAUUCCGUCGAGAGAGGUGAAAUUCUCAGACCAAUGGAAGACGAACCACUGCGAAAGCAUUUGCCAGGGAUGUUUUCACUGAUCAAGAACGAAAGUUAGGGGAUCGAAGACGAUCAGAUACCGUCGUAGUCUUAACCAUAAACCAUGCCGACUAGGGAUUGGAGGGUGUUCGUUUUGACCUCUUCAGCACCUUACGGGAAACUAAAGUCUUUGGGUUCCGGGGGGAGUAUGGUCGCAAGGCUGAAACUUAAAGGAAUUGACGGAAGGGCACCACCAGGAGUGGAGCCUGCGGCUUAAUUUGACUCAACACGGGGAAACUUACCAGGUCCAGACAUUGGGAGGAUUGACAGAUUGAGAGCUCUUUCUUGAUUCGAUGGGUGGUGGUGCAUGGCCGUUCUUAGUUGGUGGAGUGAUUUGUCUGGUUAAUUCCGUUAACGAACGAGACCCUUGCCUGCUAAAUAGUUCCGGUAACUUCAUGUUGUUGGUCAACUUCUUAGAGGGACAACUUAGUAGAACUAAGUGGAAGUUAGGGGCAAUAACAGGUCUGUGAUGCCCAAGGGCGAUCGUUAACUGCAGGAC